Long non-coding RNA from Pangasianodon hypophthalmus (striped catfish), 824 nucleotides. RefSeq lists it as uncharacterized. Lineage: Eukaryota; Metazoa; Chordata; Actinopteri; Siluriformes; Pangasiidae. The record is from RefSeq and is a predicted model, not a curated record. The transcript has 2 exons.
CUUCCGCUUGUUGUUCGGCUUACUUCCGCCCGUUGUCAUGGCGACGCGGGUUGCUUGGCUGCAGCUGUGGAUUUGUGCAGAGGGACGUUUAUGUGAAUAAUCUGAGAUUAAAGUGCAGCGUGUAGCUUUAGAGAUGGUGAUGUGUGUGAGUCAGCGCUCAGUGGACACAGUGCUGUCAGCUAUCGUGUGGCUGGUGGUGUUGGUGUCCUGGGGGUUUGUGAUCUACGGCGCUCGUGUAGCUGCACAGUGGGAGCUGGAGAAGAGAAUCGACACACAGACGUGAAGGAGGCGACACACACACACACACACACACACACCGAGACGGACUUACAGCCACAAAGUGUGUGUGUGUGUGUGUGUGUGGAACUCCUUGUCCUGCGCACAGAAUUAUGGGACUCCAUUCUCUACAAGGGACACACACACUCCUUCACACGGACACACACACUCCUUCACACAGACACGGACACACACACUCCUUCACACGGACACACACACACUCCUUCACACGGACACACACACACUCCUUCACACGGACACACACACUCCUUCACACAGACACACACACUCCUUCACACGGACACACACACUCCUUCACACAGACACACACACUCCUUCACACGGACACACACACUCCUUCACACAGACACGGACACACACACUCCUUCAGAUGGACACACACACUCCUUCACACGGACACACACACACUCCUUCACACGGACACACACACACUCCUUCACACGGACACACACACACUCCUUCGCAAAACAUUGUUCUUGUUGUUACGCUGCUGUGGAAUAAGAGGAAUAAAACACUUGGGGACGUGC